Molecule: long non-coding RNA, 3852 nt
Organism: Gorilla gorilla gorilla (western lowland gorilla)
Lineage: Eukaryota; Metazoa; Chordata; Mammalia; Primates; Hominidae
Exons: 2
Source: RefSeq, a predicted model, not a curated record
CAUCUUAUAGGUAAGGAAAUUGAAUGUUAGUGCGGUGAUGAUUCCUCAGAUGUCACUGUAUGUGUGAUAUCAAAGUUCGUGCAUCUAAAUGACACCAGCAUACUGUUCUCUGUUUGCAUAUUUUCAUGCUGCUGUGGAUUUUGUGCUAAAUGAGAACAGUGAGAGAUGUGCACCCAAGUUAUAUCCUGAAUGAAGGAGCUGGACUUGGAGAUCUCUCUCACCUCUGAAGUUGUGUAAGUGAAGUAUACUGACCCAGUGUGACCACGCUGCUAUUCGAAGACUUACUCAAAGUUUUCAAACAGAUUAACCGUGUGGGACUGUGAUUUAGCAAGGAAAACAGCCAGAAUAAACAUGUCAGUAUCUCCGUUUUAUGGUGGUUUCAUGUGCAGCAUUGUGACCUAUACCUCGGAGUUUUUCUUAUACCAGAUGAAGCUUGUUCUAUAGUCUUCACAAGGACAUAACACUUGUCAUAAGUAAAUGUUUCUAUUCUCUUGAUAUCAUUCCGAUUAUAUCAAAACGUGCUUUGAAACAACAAGCAGUAGAAUCACUUGGUAUAAUCUUGUCCUCAGUUGACAUGUUUACUUAUUUUUAUCCAGCCUAUGUUUGAAGUCCAACAUGAGCUCAUUUCUCAUGCUGGGGUGGAAUGUAUGAAGGGAUCCAAUUCUUUUGCAUCUUUAGAGAUUAUCUCAUGAAGCAAGGUUCAAUUUAGAACUCUGAGAUCUAACACUGAUUACUUAACUUUACGAGGAAAUACACAAAAAAAUCUGAAUGUCCAGACAAAAGCUGGAAAAAAAAACUUAUCUGUAUCUGUUUCACCCUUUAUAAAAUGGAAACCUACAAGUGUUUUCCUAAUAAAAUUGUAGUGAACCUGCACAAAGUGAGCAUCUCCAUCACAUUUGCUAUUACUAUUGUGGCUACUAUUAUUAUUAUUGCCUAAAGUAUUGUCUAAGAUGAACACAGAUUUAGAGAUACUGCUACACUCAAUAGCACUUUCUACUAUUUAGUUAAUGUCUAUGUCGUAAUUAGUAUACAAUCAUAGUAGAUUUAUUCAGCAUGACACUAUCAUAAUAACUUAUUUCAAAGAGGUUUUGAAAUAUGGAUUUUAUAAUAUAAAAUAUUUUGAGAAUCCUUCACCCAGGGAAGUUUUAUUUAUAUAAUUAUUAUCUACUUCUAAUAGAUCCUAUCUGUCCACAAAUCCCCAAUAAUACCAGCUCUACUUCUGCUGCAGUAUAAUGCUGCAUUAGCAAGUUCACCUCUAAUUUACUAGCUAACACACACCCUGGAGUCUCCUUAGAUAAUUCCCAAACCUCCUGCUUUCAUCUAACCAAAAUGAGUAUCUUUCGUUGUUGGUAAAUAUAUGAGUUUCAGAUGACUACAGUGCAAGCUGGUGAGCCUUGCUUUUCUAAUUUAUGUUUUAAUUAAUUUCCUUUCCAACUUGCUCCAUUUUGUGCAUUCUUUUCCUCUCAUGUGUUUGCAAUACUUCCCAGGGAAUAACACCUACAUUUUGAAUUAUAGAUUUCUUGAAUGCAUCUUUUAGGUAAUUAAGGUGUUAACAAAGACAAGACUCAAGUAUGAUCCUUAAAGAAUUUCUUGGCCUGGCGCGGUGGCUCAUGCCUGUAAUCCCAGGACUUUGGGAGGCUGAGGAGGGCGGAUCAUGAGGUCAGGAGAUCGAGACCAUCCUGGCUAACAUGGUGAAACUCCGUCUCUACUAAAAAAUACCAAAAAAAAUUAGCCAGGCGUGGUGGCGGGUGCCUGUAGUCCCAGCUACUCGGGGGGCUGAGGUGGGAGAAUGGCAUGAACCCGGGAGGCGGAGCUUGCAGUGAGCCGAGAUCGUGCCAUUGCACUCCAACCUGGGCAACAGAGCGAGACUCCAUCUCAGGAAAAAAAAAACAAAAACAUUUUUUUGCAUGUUUAAUCAACCAUUACACACAUCACUAAUUGGGAUCAAUUUCCAUUUUUUCAGUUCUCAUUUGAACCAUGAAAAUCAUAGGGUUAGACUUUUUCCUGACUAUAUCCAAUUCAUAUAUUUUAACACAAAAUGUUCUUAGCAAAUAUCUGACUAUAAGUUUUUGAUUUAAAUGAUUCCAUUAGGAUAAUUAAUCCAUAAAUAUAAUUAAUUCAAAAUUGAUAAAAAUAUUUAAUUAAAAUUAAAAACUGAUUGUCAUUUGGACACUCUAAAAUUUGAAGUCAGUAAGAAUGGGCUUAAAAAUGUGAGGUAUUACUUAUAAGUGAUCACUAAAGUAAAUAAAAAUUAACAAAUUUAAAAGACUUAGCUUAAUUUUGAAGAGUUGUAAAUAAGAAUGGCAGGUUUUUAAAAACACGCUUGUGUUUUGCAAUCUUCCAGUAAUAUAAUGAACCCAGCACACAUUGAUAAACUCUAUCUGUAUUUAUAGAUUGAAAAGAAGAUCAAGAAGUUUAGACAGAGACUUGGAUCAUCAACCAAUUCUAAUUCUGCUACUUAGAGAAAAAUCCAACUAACAAAAUUAUUAGGACCAACAUCACUAAGAAUGCUGGUUGAUAUCUUAUGCAUGCUCUUUGAUUAUAGAUAUAGUUUUGGUUAAUAAAUAUAUAAAAUGGGUAGCUAUGCUCAAAAGCAACACCUUCAUUUUGGUGCUAGUUGUCUUCUAAACAAACUAAUAUUAUUCGAGCUAAAGAGAAAAAAAAAAAACAAAAACAGGAAACAUGAAAAGCAGUGGCAUUAAACCAGCUCACUUUGAGUUUUCUGGACAUUCCAUUUUGCAUACAUCUCUCUUUCCAUUUUCAUUUAUAUAGGAGUUAUGCCAAAAACACUAGUUUACCAAAUGAUGUGAUCUAUUUCUUUCUCAUCACAAAACCAUCUAAACAUUCAUUUCAGUAAAAUAUCUCUCAGGCAUUUAACUUAAGUGUUAAACUGGUACUUUCUCAGAGUUCAAUUUGAGGUGGAUAAGACCAUAGUAAUUCAAUACAGCAAGUGGUGUCACUGUAAGGAAAGCCCUCAGGUGGUCUCCCUAAUUAUUUCAUACUAAUUAGCUCAGAUAGUAAAAGGUUCUGUUUUAUUACCUUGAUGCAAGUGGCUGAUGCUUUGGGAUAGUUAAUUGUGCUAUAUUUCAUUUUUUAAAUGAAAAUGUCAUUACCAGGAUAUAGCUUUUUAUUGUGCUUUAAUAUUGUCAAUAGGUAAAACAUUACAGGAAAAAAGAUUAUUUUUCAAAUUUCUUAGCAUUGAUAGCUAAAUUGCAAUUUACUUUCUAUUUUUUAAAUACUGAACUUCAUUAAUCAAACACUGUUCUGGUAUUUAGCUUCACAUUGUUAAAACCAGAGACAAAGGCCACAUAAACGGAAACUUUAGCGAGAAAACAUUAGCUGUGUUUUACCUUACAUGGUGAAUAUGUAUUUAAUUUUCUCUUCACUACUUAAAUAACUCAAAUACUAAUUCCAUGGUGCUUUUUAAGUUCUUACUAAUCCUAAGUAUUUAGUUCUGUGAUCAUUUUUAUCUUUGAAUAACAGUCAUCAUUCUCCCUUCCUGCAUUGUCAUAACCGUCAUGUUUCCAUGGAAACUGUGGAGAAAGAAUAAAAUGGUAAAACACCUCCAUUUAGGUCUAAGUUGACAGGGUUGUUUUUUAUUAGGAGCUUCAAUUAUUUAGGCAGAUAAGAAUAUGUGCAGUGGCCUAAUAAAUGAUAUAGAAUAAUAGUCGAUCUUCAAAAACAGGAAAUUAUGUUUCCAGCUAAUAGAACUUAGCAAUUUCUGUUAAGAACUAGUUAUUUGGUGGUGAGGCUUGGGGGUGUUUUGUUUUCUUCUUUAUUUUUUAUUGUACUGUUUGAAUUUUCUGUUAUCAUGUAAAAUAAAACAACAAAAUAAAAAAUCUUUAAAAAGAA